Long non-coding RNA from Haliaeetus leucocephalus (bald eagle), 511 nucleotides. RefSeq lists it as uncharacterized. The record is from RefSeq and is a predicted model, not a curated record. NCBI's taxonomy places the organism in Eukaryota, Metazoa, Chordata, Aves, Accipitriformes, Accipitridae. The transcript is spliced from 5 exons.
CUUACUCUGCUCAGUUCGUGUUUGGAAAGCUCCAGGGACACAAAGUCUUGUAAUAGAAAGAUGGUGGGAAAUAUGAAGGAGAGCUCUUUUAUGGAAUGAGAGAAGGGGCAGUGGAGAAAUGACGUAUUCGAUGAACGGGGUGCUAUAGUUAAUUGUUCUGGUGACAUCUGUGAUGGACUGUGGAUCAAUGGCUACCCUGCUGCUGUAAUUAGUCGUGGUCUGGAGAUCUGGGCUGGCAUCAGAAACCACCAAAUCCCAUCAAGGUCUGCUGCCAACUCAUUUGAGUUAAUUAAGAAACUGAGAGGAAAACAGUUAACUCCUGUCAAUUCUGGAUUUGCACUGGAUGAUUUACCAGUCCUUAAGGGAGAUAGAGCCAGAAUCUGGAUCUGACACCCUAUGUGGAGCAGGAGAUGCUUCGAGCAGCCAGCAUGAAAGGAGGCAAAAAGCCAAGUGGCAGGAUAUCUGCUGAGAAAGCUGAGAAGAUGACAGUCUCACAGGAGAAAAUGGAAGA